RNAcentral lists this long non-coding RNA (1931 nucleotides) under Gallus gallus (chicken). RNAcentral's name for it is "lncRNA (ENSGALG00010026204.1)". Lineage: Eukaryota; Metazoa; Chordata; Aves; Galliformes; Phasianidae. The record is from RNAcentral.
AAUUAGGAGGUUUGUGUUGUGUUCUGCUGCUUUUUAUCUGUUAGAGGCUGGUUCUGUUGAGUGACAGCAUGGGGAGCAACUUCAGCAUGCAGACCUGCUGUGGGAGUUGUAAGAAGCAGGAGGAAGCAUAUGAAGAGACUAGUGAGACCAAGCCAAUUCUGCACACCUCAGGGGGCACACCAAUGCACACUGAUACGCAGCCUCCCCCACCAGCCCUGGAAGCCUCUGAAAGAAUCUCUGAAGAAGCUCAAAGAGGCUGAAGUCCUGGAUCAGCAAGAAGGAGAGAAAGCAUGUAAUGCAGAAGAGAAAAUAAAACCUACUCCUUAUGAUGAGGCCCAGCUGGCUAUGCACACAGCUCAGGAUCUGAAGCUUGUUGCAGAUAUAGGACAGCCUGCUGAACAGGCUGGGGCUGGCAGUGAGGAUGACCAACAUGCUGAAAUAACUCCCCAAGAAAUAAAUAAUCUCGAGCUCAUGGAAAGCACAUGGGAAACUGCAGCUGCUCAAGACUUUGAGAUAGAGCCUCCCAUGGAGACUGGUGAGAGUUUCACAGGAUGGAACUUGCCACUCUGUGUUGUGCAGAAGAUGGCAAAAGAGGCUGAGACCGACCUUCCUGCUGGGCACACAGAGCAGGCAGACAGGGCUGGCCUUGCUGAAGGAAGUACUGAACUCACUGAGAGUGUCCAGAUCACACCUCUUGCAAAGGCUGCCUCUCUAAUGAAUGUGCAGGCUGCAGAGGAGACUGAGAAUGCAGUGGAUCCUUCAGAAGCCAUAGUGAAUGCUGUGGCUGAGAUGCACUCUGUUUCUGCAGUGCCUCAGGAAACCCUGUAUCCAGGAGGGCAGACUCCAGAGCCAGCCAACCAGCUGCUUGACUUCUUACAGCAAGAGGCUCAGUCUGGUGUGCCAACUGCACGAGAGGUGCAGAGCCAAAGCUGUGCAGAACCUGCUGAACUCGGUGAGGUUUUAAGUGAUGAAGACCAGGAAGUCCUUUGUGAUACAGCGGACAGUGAGGAGAGCAGGGAAUGUGAUCUGGAAACUCCAGCAGAUGAGGCAGAGCCACAGGAGAGCGUUGUGCAACAAAUGCUGCAGCUUCCAGCAGAACUGGCUUGUGCUCAGAUGCCUGCAGAGGAAGAAGCUGAGUUUCUCAGUGUGGUACCCUUGCUGUAUGAAGUGCCUGGGAGUGGAGGAGAUGGACAGGUUGAAAAUGCUGAAGCUUGAGAGAAGUGAGGAUGGAUGGGUUGGUAUUCAGUGCCUUUGGGAAUUUCAGCCCAAAAAAAAAGCAAUUAUCUCAGCCUUUUGAACCCAAUGUUUGUUUUUCUUUUUCAAGUGUGUCCUGGACUUCAGAAAGUGACUUUGCUAAAGAGAUGUGUGAGGUGUGCAAUAGAUGUUUCUAGAAAUUCUCCUGGGUUAUAGCUUGGUUGUACUUCUGUUUAGUAGCUGAUUUGCAGGAGAUCUUGCUUUACUGGGAGAGGAGUGAUUCACUUCAAUAGUGGUUUCACUGAAGGAAUGCUGAGCACUGCAUCCCCCAGUGUGGUACAGUGAUAGGAGGUUCCAGUGCAAAGUCUUACAAGUCUGUGGACAGGACAGACAAAAGCUCCUCUAACCCAGCACAGUCAGAUGCCUUCUGUGGCUCACAGACACCGAAUCAAACCUUCCAACCACCUCCUUUUCUACUUACACAUUUGGUGACUGUUACUUUGGAAGCAUUGAACGUGCUUUCAUGAGUCAAUGAAAUAAUACUCUGGUUUGUUCUUUGUAUUUCUGGUGAUAGCUGAUACAAUCUGUACUCUGUGCUCAUACAAUCUGUACUCUGUGCAGAACUUAAAGAAACAAAUGUAGUCUUGAUCAGAAUGCAUAAGUCAGUGUAUUGCGGUUUAAAUCUACUGACUUUUAAUGUUCAUGACUUUAUGACACCAAUAAAAUAUUUUAAGAUC